RNAcentral lists this unclassified non-coding RNA (339 nucleotides) under soil metagenome. RNAcentral's name for it is "partial contains 5.8S ribosomal RNA, internal transcribed spacer 2, and large subunit ribosomal RNA". The stretch from base 1 to 120 matches the Rfam family "5.8S ribosomal RNA", at positions 35 to 154 of the family's 154-position model. The record is from RNAcentral.
GAUGAAGAACGUAGCGAAAUGCGAUAAGUAGUGUGAAUUGCAGAAUUCAGUGAAUCAUCGAAUCUUUGAACGCACAUUGCGCCCCCUGGUAUUCCGGGGGGCAUGCCUGUCCGAGCGUCAUUGCUGCCCUCAAGCACGGCUUGUGUGUUGGGCUCCGUCCCCCCGGGGACGGGCCCGAAAGGCAGCGGCGGCACCGAGUCCGGUCCUCGAGCGUAUGGGGCUUUGUCACCCGCUCUGUAGGCCCGGCCGGCGCCAGCCGACAACCCAUCAUCCUUUUCAGGUUGACCUCGGAUCAGGUAGGGAUACCCGCUGAACUUAAGCAUAUCAAUAAGCGGAGGA